GGGCGGUUAGCUCAGCUGGGAGAGCGCCUGCCUUACAAGCAGGAAGUCAGAGGUUCAAGUCCUCUACCGCCCA
Molecule: transfer RNA, 73 nt
Filed under: Spirochaetota bacterium
Lineage: Bacteria; Pseudomonadati; Spirochaetota
Also listed under: 1 other name
Description: Spirochaetes bacterium tRNA-Val
Rfam family: tRNA
About the family: Transfer RNA (tRNA) molecules are approximately 80 nucleotides in length. Their secondary structure includes four short double-helical elements and three loops (D, anti-codon, and T loops).
Source: RNAcentral